UAUAUUUUUACUAUAUCUUUAGGGAUUAAAACAAAAGGGAGAUGGGGCCAAGAGGGGAUAGGGGAGGGGAGCGGCCGCCGCGCGUCUAGCGCUGACGUGGGAGCAGCUGCUAGUGGAGACAGCUUGGGAUCGUAGGUGAAAUUCAACGAACAGCCCCGACAGGAAGGGAACGGCAGAGGUCGCCAAGAGGGAGCAGCGAGGUUCGAAGGCAGAAGAAGAGGUCGCCGCGAGCGAGGCGCGGAGGCUGCUUCAGCACCCACGCCCCCCGAAGGUCGCAGGUACCAGCUGUAGCUGCUCACGAGCCACCGCGAGCACGGGCUCGAGCUCGUACGCGACCGCUUGGGCUUGGGGAGGAGGUAGAGGGGCCUGCGUACCCGCGGAAAGCUCCGGCGGCGCGAGCCACAGUACACGGCCUAGGUCGGUUGGCAGCGGAGCCUCCCCGCGGCACGCCGGCAACAGCUGAUAUAGGUUGCGGAGCAGUUCACAAGGCAGCCGACGAGCCAGAAAGGUAAACCUAGGCAAGGUGACUUUUGUAUAGAAGGACUACCUCUAUAACUGAACCGACGAAAGCCAAUAUGUACAAGACUACUUUCGGAUCGUUUACUCCAUGCACGGUAAGACCUUAGUCUUCUCGCCGCGUUUCUACGACUUAAACUUUAGUUUCUACAGGUCAUAUAUUUACGACUCCAGUUCGAUCAGUUUACGAAACAGGUUUUAUAACAACAGCUGUAGAGUAAAUUAGUCUAACCACCUGAUAUAUGCGAAACAAAAGAUCUCGUCCACUUAGUUUCUAAACUUUUUUGGGUGGAAAAGUUCUCUUCAUAUCACGAAUAUUUUCGGACCACAAUAAUACUUUCGGCGUAGGAACCUCGGGUGGUACCAGAUUAAAGAUGGAUACGGAACCUCUGUAAUCACGAUAUAUAGAAGGUAGAGAAGGUACUCAGAAACCUACCAGGUAAUCGACAUGAGAUAUCCAAAGACCUGAUAAUAUCGUUCAAACUGACCCUAUUGUCCCCAUAUUCGAAUGUACCAGGAUAAAGGAAUAGAAGGGAUGGACUCGAUCGAUGACUGGGUGGUCCGUAAGUAUUACUAACAAAAGAACUCGCCCUCCUCAAAGAUUCUCUUACACGAGUUUACAAAUGACGGGGGGGAUCCUUGAUACUCUCUUUAUGUGCGGGCAAGGGAGCUUUUAAAGAGUUGUAUCACCUAGGUAACUUCGUCUCAUUGUUAGAGCCCGCGUCACAGUCGUUUCCAUUGAAAAUGUCUUAUGCGUCACGAAAACUAGAACCACGGGCCUUCGAACCUUUCUAGGAAGUUCAAGGACGGUUAAGAUAGCACCUACUUCAGUUAGUCAAGAAGUCCUCGUGUGACUUCUCUUUGGAGCCGUCCCAUGCGGGUCUACACGUUCCGUGACGUCACUUGAACUUGUAACUUUCUCUGUUGUUCCCAAUAGGUGGAAAUGUGUCAUUAGGGACACUCCUAGAUAGAAUAGUCGAAUCAUCAUAGUUGUAAAGUCUAUUAGUACCUAAAGACUUCGUCCUCCUUGUAUCGAGAUCGCCACUCGUGGUCCUUUACUUUAGACGAAGUGUAGAACAUUGAUCAAGAAAACAAUCACACUCGUUACCCUACAGUUGUUUCCACAUGUUUCUCCGCCUACCACUAGCCCCACGGUGGUGACUGUUAGAUAGUCUAGAGUGUCCCCUAAUGUCUUGUUUAAAAUUGUUAGAGGAGAUAAGUGUCUCAACGGUGGUUCUGAUAGGUCAAGUAGGUAUGAUAGGUUACGAACGGGGCGGUGGACAUGUUAUAGUCUUGUUUGUGAGUGACUUACCAGUAUUGUCUUUUUUACGAAUACCUAUAGGGUCACGUUUGUCUUACCGGGGACCAGGAAUAAGUGGACCGAUGAAGCAGAAUUUCGGCAAAAUAGCGUGACUCCUAGGAUACGUUGGAGUACCUCGUCAGUGGAUGAAGGGGUUGGGUUUAAACACGUACCUCCGUGGUGGGUGACCUGCUCCCCUUUCUUUCUUAAUAAAGGGAGCCUUAUUAAUAGUUUUCGUAGUGGCAAUACCAUCCCACCUGUACGGACGUCUAUACUGUGCAAGACUCCUUAACUCCGUUGUCGGUGGUAACGGCUAAAUACAAGGACAACGUUUACUAUUUCCUUAAGGGAGAGGCAACUUCUAUGGUUGUGGUAGUAGGGUAAGAUGUGUCCUAUUAUAAGUACCUUCCCCGAAAUAAGUAGGUGUACUGUCGUUUGAACUCAAACCCUGGAACCCCCGUAACGUGUACCUUCAAUCCUUACGAAGGGUUUUAGUUCGAUUGUCUGGUAUAAGACGAAGACUGUCAUUUGGAAGACGUUGGGACUCUAGCUUGAGAGGACCUGUUUUAGGACCUUGCCCAAUAUUUAGAUUACAUUACUCGUUACUGAUAACUCCGUGUGGUGUUAAUAAUCAAAGAAUUUGUCUUUAAUUCCUUAUCAUUCGGUAUAGUAGAGUUCCUGUUACCACUAAAGGGUGGUGAUAGGUCAACUGCGGUAUAUACCGAAUGGCGUAUCGUCUCGACAACAAAAAAGACUAAGUUGGCCUUCUAUGACUACACACCGCGUGUGAGUCACGUCGGUAUCGUCUCCCAAAGAGAAGAUCAGUUCGUAGUAGUACGUGUAGGAUUGAACCAAGAGGUCAGUAGUCUAAGUGGAAUACGCCGCCGCUGUUACGUUCAAACGGGACGUCAUUGGCUUCAAAGUCGGGGAUGGGGAGGACCUUUUGUCCUGUAAAACACGGUACAUCUUGACAUCUAUGAACCCCCGUUUUUUAUAUAAAGGAAAGCAAAAGAAAUUUCAAAACCGCAAGGGGAAUUCACCCCUUGUCCUACGUUUCUACCUAUCCUUUUCUCUAUCAAAUCUGUAAGACAAAAAUGGGACACUCGUAAGCUCCUAACGAGCCCUCGAGCGGCAACAUCACAAUUAGACAGACCCAGAACUGAACGUUGACUUUCUGGGGAACGGACUUCAUUGUAAUCGACGGAUCUUUACCUAUCCGCAACGUAUACUCUAAAACCUCAACGUCAACUAUGUAAGACAGUCGCAAGACAUAGAAAGUGUACCUUUCUUUAAAACGAGCAUAACACGGAACGG
RNAcentral lists this ribosomal RNA (3130 nucleotides) under Triticum aestivum (bread wheat). RNAcentral describes it as "partial small subunit ribosomal RNA". The record is from RNAcentral. Lineage: Eukaryota; Viridiplantae; Streptophyta; Magnoliopsida; Poales; Poaceae.